RNAcentral lists this ribosomal RNA (521 nucleotides) under uncultured bacterium. RNAcentral's name for it is "bacterial SSU rRNA". It matches the Rfam family "Archaeal small subunit ribosomal RNA", at positions 345 to 866 of the family's 1478-position model. The record is from RNAcentral.
AACCUCCGCAAUGUGAGAAAUCGCGACGGGGGGAUCCCAAGUGCCAUUCUUAACGGGAUGGCUCUUCAUUAGUGUAAAGAGCUUUUGGAAUAAGAGCUGGGCAAGACCGGUGCCAGCCGCCGCGGUAACACCGGCAGCUCUAGUGGUAGCAAUUUUUAUUGGGCCUAAAGCGUCCGUAGCCGGUUUAAUAAGUCUCUGGUGAAAUCCUGUAGCUUAACUGUGGGAAUUGCUGGAGAUACUAUUAGACUUGAGACCGGGAGAGGUUAGAGGUACUCCCAGGGUAGAGGUGAAAUUCUGUAAUCCUGGGAGGACCGCCUGUUGCGAAGGCGUCUAACUGGAACGGUUCUGACGGUGAGGGACGAAAGUUAGGGGCGCGAACCGGAUUAGAUACCCGGGUAGUCCUAACUGUAAACGAUGCGGACUUGGUGUUGGGGUGGCUUUGAGCUGCUCCAGUGCCGAAGGGAAGCUGUUAAGUCCGCCGCCUGGGAAGUACGGUCGCAAGACUGAAACUUAAAGGAAUU